UGGCAGGAGAAUUGGGUGCUGCUCCCGUUGGCUACGGUGUGGGCGGGUGUGUUUUUGGAUCCUGCGAGAUGGGAGGAGGUGGUCCUCCUUCGAGGUUGAGCCGAGGCACGGACCGCCAAUUCUGGGUGGUGACAUUACAAUCUUUCCAAAUGAGGUUGAUGUUCUGACAGUUUGCAAACCUGCAUCAGUUCCAGUGAUUGACUACUACACCAAGAAGGGCAUAGUCGCAAAUCUUCAUGUAGAAAAGCCACCAAAGGAAGUGACUGUUGAGGUGCAGAAAACUAUGUCAUGUAGUGCAUAUUCUCCGGCCUAGACAUGCAUGUGCCAAGGCAAUAUUAAUUCAGUUUUGAAGUUUGCAAUAGGUAACACUUAACUUAUCAUUUACUAAGAGCAAGGCUAAUAAUAUAGCCAACAUGCUAGUUAUAACACUAUUUUGUAGUUUUCUUAUAGUCUACUCAUAUAGUGGUUAGUUUUUCAUCUUUAAUACAGGACCCACAUAUCUCUCUCACAAAGUAUUUUGGUUCGUGUGUCUGAGCUGGCUAUAAGCUUGUAGCCCACUUGUCCUCUCUCUCCUCCU
This is a long non-coding RNA of Oryza brachyantha (malo sina), 577 nucleotides long. RefSeq lists it as uncharacterized. The record is from RefSeq and is a predicted model, not a curated record. The transcript is spliced from 3 exons. NCBI's taxonomy places the organism in Eukaryota, Viridiplantae, Streptophyta, Magnoliopsida, Poales, Poaceae.